CCAAGGUAAAGCCUUUUAAGGUGCCCCUUUCUAUGUGCAUGACACAUUACUAUUGAAGAUCCUUGAUCUAGUACGGUCUGGCUUGGUCCCUUCACAAAAUUUUUACUCACAUAACGAAUCCUAUAAACAUAAGCCAAAAUAUUGUAAGUUCAAAAGAACUUAGUGAAAUUCUUUACUACAUUACUUAAAAAUAGACCCCAUCUUGCAAGGGUAGUAAAUGAAAAGAAACUAAACACGUUUAAAUCUUUAAUUGUGUUAGGACGAUUUCUCUUAAUCUGGAAUGGCGGUCUCCGAUUAAUUUUCUAGGUUUAUCUAAUGGUAGAUAGGUUGUUAAACGAUCUUCCCCUAGUUGAUCCUAUAGCCAUUCGACUAGUUUUGGUGGUUUCUCAGAUGAUUCGCUAUAAUUACGAACUCUGUCCUUUCUUCACAUACAUUCUUCCUUUCAUCUAUCCCAUGUUUAGGAUAUCCAUCUACUCAUAACUUUUAUGUUUAAUCCUUAAUUACAAGGUUUGAUGGUCGGCAACCAGUAUGGAUUCUAUCUUCCACUGUGUACUUAUAAAGUAGUCGUCCUGAACUUCCAUCUUAAGGACAAUUGGUUAUUUCUUUCUUGGCGAACAUUCCAAAUCUGAUUUGUCCUUGGAAAACUCCUUUUUCUUACUAUAGUCCCGAAAGAAUUGUUGACAUCUCAUCAGUUAGGUUAACUAAUGAGGACUCAUGCCACUAUAGCGGACUAAAUCUUAUUUUACCCUACACUUGGGUUGAAAAGUUGUUUGGAUUACUUCCUCGUAAUAGCCAUAUUUGCAAUACCUUACUUUUAAGGUGUAACACAUCCGCCUAAGCUACUAUUUGAGUUUACGGUUUCUCUUAUAUGAUAGUUCCUUAGGAACUAACUCUAUGGCAGGUAUAUUCACAAUAGAUUCUCCUCAAAGAGGAAUAGUCUUAACAAACAUAACUAUCACUUGGAUAAUCCGUAUAAGUACCCCUUUCUGGGGGUUCUUAAUGGCGAAUCCUUGUUUGCAAUCUCCGGAUAAAUCCUCUUUCGUUAGAUGAAACAAAGUAUAUUUUUUUCCCGAAAUUCUUGAGUUUUGAAAAUAUUAUUAAACUUUUUUUCCAUUUUUUCAAAUUUCAAUCCAAACAAUUAAUUUUUUCUUUCUAAUUUUAAUGUGAUGGUUAUUUUAUUUAGGGUGAGCAAAACUCGAUUCAACUCGAUUUUUUUUUCAAAUUUUGAGUUAAACAAAUUGACUUAUUCGAGUCAACUCAAUUUUUUUUUCGAAUUUCGAGUUCAAAUCAAGUUGAAUUUUUGAACUCAAAUAAUUCAAAUAAACAAAUACCAAACUAUAAUAUUUUACAUUUUUAUCUCAAAUCCCUAAACCUUUUUAGUUUACUCCAAAACUUUUACUCCUCUCCCAUCUCACCUCCCGUCUAUCUAAACCAUUUUUCUCUCAAAUUUUUUUGAAUAUUUUCCCCCCAAAGUUUUACUCCUCUAUUUACUUUCCCCCCAAAAUUUUACUCCCCAAAUUCCCAAAACUUUUUAUUUUCCUCUAAAUUUUUACUUCUCACCUUUUACCCCCAAAUUAAAAAUCAAAGUCAUCCAAAAAAUCCCUAAACCUAAUAAUAAUUUUAUUUAUAUCUACAAUAUAUAUUAUUAAAUUAAAUUUCACAUUUUAUACUAUUUACAUUAUUGAAUUAUUUGAUCAUAUUGAAUCUUUAUAAAUUUCUAAAAAUUAAAUUAUUAAUGAUAUAAUAAAAUAUUCGUGUUAAAAUUUUAUGUUAUAUCAAUUUCACAUUUUAUAUUUAAGAUAGCUUUUAUUAAAAAUUCAUAUUUUUUAUAUUUAAUAUGUUUUUUAAUUUUAAAAUACUUAGUGACAAGAAAAAUAGUUAAAACAACUAAACAACUAAAGAAGUAAACUUGUAUAUAAAAUAUUAAUAAAUAAAUUAUGAGAUUAAAAGUUAAUAAUAAAUUUAAUUAUAGUUGGUGAUAAUGGUUACAAAGAAUUAAAUAUUUUUUUUUAAUUUAACUAGAAAUUUCAAAUUAAGUUAAAAGAUAUAAUUCAUCACCCUAAUUUUUAAUUUCAUCACCCACCCCUGAAACACAAAACAAUUGGCUCAUAAACGUUCACUAAAGAUUGAAAAUACCUGCCUUUCAAAUUCAAUCCAUACCAAAGAAAAUAUCCAUGGAAGAGCAGCCAAGUGAACUCACCGCAACUGUAACCUCACUUCCUUAGCCAAGAAUGAAGGAUUUUGUU
This 2246-nucleotide long non-coding RNA is filed under the name Gossypium barbadense (sea-island cotton). RNAcentral's name for it is "long non-coding RNA (GBAR_LNC003310)". The record is from RNAcentral. Lineage: Eukaryota; Viridiplantae; Streptophyta; Magnoliopsida; Malvales; Malvaceae.